AUGAACGUUAGAGUUCCACUUUAUACAUGCAAGUCGAACGUGGUUUAUUUUUAGUAAACUAAGUGGCGCGCGAGUGAAUAAUGUGUAUGAAGUAUACCCAAUAAUUCGAGAUACGCCUUUAAAGAGGCAUCAAUAUUGAAUAAAUAUAAGACAAAUUGUCUUAUUAUUAAAGACAAGUCGUUAUUGGAUUAGCAUAUAUCGAAUUAAAUUGAUGGUAAGGGUAAAGGCCUACCAUGUUAAUGAUUCGUAACUGGGUUGAUAGACCGACCAGUCACGUUGGAACUUAAAUAAGGAACAACCUGUUUCGAUGGGCAGCAGUAGGGAAUCUUGGACAAUGGACGAAAGUCUGAUCCAGUGAGAAUUUGUGUAGGAUGAAGGCAGGAAGUCGUAAACUACUUUCGAUAGGAAAGAUAAUGACGGUACCUAUAGCAAGAAGUACUGACUAAUUCUGU
RNAcentral lists this ribosomal RNA (452 nucleotides) under uncultured bacterium. Its description in RNAcentral is "bacterial SSU rRNA". It matches the Rfam family "Bacterial small subunit ribosomal RNA", at positions 30 to 506 of the family's 1533-position model. The record is from RNAcentral.